CCCCAGGCUGGGCCCCGAGCGGCAAGGUCCUCCAAGCCUGCUUUCAUACCAUUAGUACAAAUUCCUCUUGGACUGGAAUCUGAGCCAGAAGGAUAAGACAAACCUCUUGAGAGAAGUUUAAGGACUUCAGGCCAAAGUGGCAUGGUGGUGACAAGCGCAGAGUGGUUUGACAAGCUGGGGGCUCAGCCACGGAAAUGCAGGGCAGGACAGAAAGGAGGAGGAUGAAGAGGAGAAGAGAACGGUGAAGAAACCACGGUGCAGGGGGCUCUGCCCCACCCAAGGUCAAGGUCAAGGUCGGCCCGGCCUCUCUGCAUGCUCACACUUGGAGGGCCAGCGCCUCUGUGAGGAGAGCAGCGGGCAGGAAGAGGGCGUCCCCUCCGACCCGCUCCCACACCCAGGUGCAGGAGGGGGCGACGGCCUGCCCGCAGGGCUCACGUUCCCGGGCCCCCAGAUCUCGCCCCUGGCGUGCAGGGGGGUCCGUGGAGUGGUACUGGUCUGUCUUGGGUGUCCCAAACUCCUGCCCUCACCAUCCCCUCCUGUAUGCAGAUCGUGGCAUUCAUGGACUCCUUCUCCGUGCCACGUGCCACGUGCAUUCUGAGAUGCUCUGAAACGGGGAGGGGGCCCCAGCGGUGCGCCCUGCCCAGCUGUUCUCGCCCGUCCCCUCGGCUGCUCUGCCUGCCUGGCCUCUUUGCCAACUGGCCUCCAACCUCGUGCUCACGCUCUCUUCCUGGCAUCCCCCUCCUUUCCCGGUGCUCUGGGGGAGCCUGGAUUCGAGGGCUGAGGGUCAGGGCUUCGCAGCUGCGUCUUGAGCUACAGCAAGUGUACUGGUUUCCUACGGCUGCGUAACAAGCCCCCCAAGCUCUGAAGCAGAAAACAGCAUGCGUUUAUCGGCUCCUGGUUCUAUAGGCCUGAAGUCCAGGCCCGGCGGGGCUGGAUUCUCCACACUGGGGCUCAUGAGGCUGGAAUCGGGGUGUCAGCUUUUAUCUGGAAGUUCUGGAGGAGAAUCUGUUUCCAGCCUCACAAAGAACUCGGUUCCUUGUGGUUGUGGUCCAAGGUCCCCAUGCCCUUGUGGCUGUCAGUGGGGCCACCCUCUGUUCCUAGCGACCACAACAUUCCUUCUCACAGGCCCCAUUUUCAAAGCUCGCAACCACACAGUGAGUCCUUCUCAGUGCUCACUCGUGUCUCUGAUUUGUUCUUCUGCCACCAGCCAGAGAGAACUCUGCUUUUUUUUUUUCUUUUUUGGUGAGGAAGAUUGGCCCUGAGCUAACAUCUGCACCAAUCUUCCUCAAUUUUGUAUGUGGGAUGUUGCCACAG
This 1314-nucleotide long non-coding RNA is filed under the name Equus caballus (horse). RNAcentral's name for it is "lncRNA (ENSECAG00000035263.2)". Lineage: Eukaryota; Metazoa; Chordata; Mammalia; Perissodactyla; Equidae. The record is from RNAcentral.